UUUAAUUCUUUGGCUUCUUUAUUUGUCAAGUGUUGCUUGUCUUAUUAGAGCAUAAAUUAUACUCUGUUACUCCCCAUUUUUAUGUGACAUUUCUGAACUUGUAGGUGUGAAAGAGAGCCUCGAAUGCAAAGAACUUCAAAAUUUUAUCAAGCAUUGGUCGCAAGGUGAUUGAAAACCAUGGGGUAUAUUUGUUAAUAAACAACACUAUUAUUGAUCUUGAAUGGCACAAUGGUAACAUAAUGCACAUGCAAAGCCACUGCGGAGUUUUUUGGUUAUGCAUUAGGGCGCGUUUGGUUUGUGACCAGAAUUGGAAUGGAUUGGAAUAGAAAUCGGAAUAGCCAUAUCAUACUAGGGGAGAGUAAGGAUUGGAUUUUGGGGGAUUGGGGUCUUUCCGUUCCUCCCUAAAAUCGGAAUGGGAAUGGGACUCCCCUCAACUAAAUGGCUGGAAUAUGAGUCACUCAUUCUCAUUCCUAUUUCAUAAUCCAACUCUCCUCUAAACAAAUAUGCCCUUAAUUUAUUC
RNAcentral lists this long non-coding RNA (520 nucleotides) under Phoenix dactylifera (date palm). RNAcentral's name for it is "long non-coding RNA (PDAC_LNC022657)". Lineage: Eukaryota; Viridiplantae; Streptophyta; Magnoliopsida; Arecales; Arecaceae. The record is from RNAcentral.